CUCGGCAACGGAUAUCUCGGCUCUCGCAUCGAUGAAGAACGUAGCGAAAUGCGAUACUUGGUGUGAAUUGCAGAAUCCCGUGAACCAUCGAGUCUUUGAACGCAAGUUGCGCCCGACGGCAUUCGGCUGAGGGCACGUCUGCCUGGGUGUCACGG
RNAcentral lists this ribosomal RNA (155 nucleotides) under Cuphea bahiensis. RNAcentral describes it as "5.8S ribosomal RNA". It matches the Rfam family "5.8S ribosomal RNA". Rfam says of the family: 5.8S ribosomal RNA (5.8S rRNA) is a component of the large subunit of the eukaryotic ribosome. It is transcribed by RNA polymerase I as part of the 45S precursor that also contains 18S and 28S rRNA. The record is from RNAcentral. Lineage: Eukaryota; Viridiplantae; Streptophyta; Magnoliopsida; Myrtales; Lythraceae.